RNAcentral lists this ribosomal RNA (433 nucleotides) under uncultured bacterium. RNAcentral's name for it is "partial 16S ribosomal RNA". It matches the Rfam family "Bacterial small subunit ribosomal RNA", at positions 29 to 507 of the family's 1533-position model. The record is from RNAcentral.
AACGAACGCUGGCGGCAUGCCUAACACAUGCAAGUCGAACGAGACCUUCGGGUCUAGUGGCGCACGGGUGCGUAACGCGUGGGAAUCUGCCCUUGGGUUCGGAAUAACAGUUGGAAACGACUGCUAAUACCGGAUGAUGACGUAAGUCCAAAGAUUUAUCGCCCAAGGAUGAGCCCGCGUAGGAUUAGCUAGUUGGUGAGGUAAAGGCUCACCAAGGCGACGAUCCUUAGCUGGUCUGAGAGGAUGAUCAGCCACACUGGGACUGAGACACGGCCCAGACUCCUACGGGAGGCAGCAGUGGGGAAUAUUGGACAAUGGGCGAAAGCCUGAUCCAGCAAUGCCGCGUGAGUGAUGAAGGCCUUAGGGUUGUAAAGCUCUUUUACCCGGGAUGAUAACGACAGUACCGGGAGAAUAAGCUCCGGCUAACUCCGUG